Molecule: long non-coding RNA, 546 nt
Filed under: Homo sapiens (human)
Lineage: Eukaryota; Metazoa; Chordata; Mammalia; Primates; Hominidae
Description: non-protein coding LINC01229:9
Source: RNAcentral
AUUAAAGAGGACCAUCAUGUAGUGUGAGGAGUCAACAUUUCACACUAGAAAGCCCUUGGUUCAAGUUUUGUCUCUGCCACCUACAGAUUUUGUAACCCUGAGGAAACUAGCUACCUCUUUAUGUACUGCCCUAUGGAGAGGCACACAUGUCAAGAAACUGAGGGAGUGCCUUCCAGUCAACAGCCAGCCAGGAACUAAGGUGCUCAGUACAGCAGCCUCCACAAAGGACUGAACAAUGCCAACAGCUAUUUGACUGUGCUUGGAAGAUCUCCGUUUAGUUAACCCUUCAGAUGAGACCGCAGCCCUGGCCAGCAAACAAAUUGCAGCCUAUGGAAAGACCUUAAGGCAGAAGCACCCAACUGAACCACCCGAGGGCUCUGACUUACAGAAACUGUGAGCAUAUAGUGAAAUGGCCUCUACCUUAUUUUGAAUGGAUUUCUGGGAUAAAGUUCUUCAGUGAUAACAUGUUUGAAGCGGCUAUCUUAUGUGCCCAUGUUACAUGCUCAUGAUAAAGCUGCAUUUCCUGAGGGGACACCAAUGGAUACA